This 795-nucleotide ribosomal RNA is filed under the name Globorotalia scitula. RNAcentral describes it as "bacterial SSU rRNA". The stretch from base 8 to 684 matches the Rfam family "Eukaryotic small subunit ribosomal RNA", at positions 1174 to 1613 of the family's 1831-position model. The record is from RNAcentral. Lineage: Eukaryota; Foraminifera; Rotaliida; Globorotaliidae.
CACAAGAGCGUGGAGCAUGUGGCUUAAUUUGACUCAACGCGGGAAAUCUUACCGGGUCCGGACACACUGAGGAUUGACAGGCGAUAUAACGAUUCUUAUUUCUUUUAAUAAGAUAUUCGUUAUUCAAAUAUGCUAGUCCUUUCAUGAUUAUGUGGUAGGUGGUGCAUGGCCGUUCUUAGUUCGUGGAGUGAUCUGUCUGCUUAAUUGCGUUUCACUAAGGUCCCAUAUACUAAAGGCAUGUCGACCUCUCUUUAGGAUUAAUUAAGGCUUGGACCCCUCUUAUUAUUAUUAAGAGCGAGUGUCUAAUGUCUUGUUAUCCUUUAUAUAAGAUAGUGUCGUAUGCUGUUGGGAUCUGAAAGCAACGAACGUGACCGCAACGUCUUGUUGCCUUACCUAUACUGGUAUUAUACUAUAAUACCGUAUUACUCUUAAGGCUUUAUCUAUAAAACUAGACGGACCGCUGUUUCUUUUCCUUAAACCAGAGGAAGGUUGCGGCAAUAACAGGUCUGUGAUGCCCUUAGAUGUUCCGGGCUGCACACGUGCUACAAUGAUCAGUACAGUGAGCAUCUCAAUUUCUCUUAAUAUAGAAUUCUUCUAUAUAAGAACCGUAUUUUCAAGCAUCUGUCGUUAUUAUAACGAUCAGUAUGCGCGGUAACGCCUGUUUCGAGAGUAAAUGGGUAAUCCAUUGGAAGUAAUGAUUUCUCUAUUUUAUAUAAAUGCACGGUUUAUAUACGGCAUUCAUUCCCGAGGCGCCUUUGUAGCGUCUAUGUGCGGAUGUAUGUUAUGGCUUUGUUA